This 497-nucleotide ribosomal RNA is filed under the name uncultured bacterium. RNAcentral describes it as "partial 16S ribosomal RNA". It matches the Rfam family "Bacterial small subunit ribosomal RNA", at positions 28 to 507 of the family's 1533-position model. The record is from RNAcentral.
GAUGAACGCUGGCGGCGUGCCUAAUACAUGCAAGUCGAGCGAAUAGACGAGGAGCUUGCUCCUCUGACGUUAGCGGCGGACGGGUGAGUAACACGUGGAUAACCUACCUAUAAGACUGGGAUAAGUUCGGGAAACCGGAGCUAAUAUCGGAUAAUAUAGUGAACCGCAUGGUUCAAUAGUGAAAGACGGUUUUGCUGUGACUUAUAGAUGGAUCCACGCCGCAUUAGCUAGUUGGUAAGGUAACGGCUUACCAAGGCAACGAUGCGUAGCCGACCUGAGAGGGUGAUCAGCCACACUGGAACUGAGACACGGUCCAGACUCCUACGGGAGGCAGCAGUAGGGAAUCUUCCGCAAUGGGCGAAAGCCUGACGGAGCAACGCCGCGUGAGUGAUGAAGGUCUUCGGAUCGUAAAGCUCUGUUAGUUGGGAAGAACAAAUGUGAAAGUAACUAUGCACGUCUUGACGGUACCUAAUCAGAAAGCCACGGCUAACUACGUG